Molecule: ribosomal RNA, 254 nt
Filed under: uncultured bacterium
Lineage: Bacteria
Description: partial 16S ribosomal RNA
Rfam family: Bacterial small subunit ribosomal RNA
Source: RNAcentral
GACGAACCGUGCGAACGUUAUUCGGAAUCACUGGGCUUAAAGCGCGUGUAGGCGGGAGGGCACGUCCGUCGCUGAAAUCCCCCGGCUCAACCGGGGAACGGGCGCGGAUACGACCUUCCUGGAGGGACGUAGGGGGACCUGGAACUUCCGGUGGAGCGGUGAAAUGCGUUGAGAUCGGAAGGAACGCCCGUGGCGAAAGCGAGGUCCUGGACGUCUGCUGACGCUGAGACGCGAAAGCCAGGGGAGCGAACGGG